CGGGGUUUCACCAUGUUGGCCAGAUUGGUCUCAAACUCCUGACCUCAGGCAAUCUGCCCGCCUCGGCCUCCCAAAGUGCUAGGAUUACAGGCAUGAGCAUCCUCCAGACCUCAGAGUGGUAGAUCCACUGACAGCUUGCAUCAUGUGCCUGGAAAAGCAAAAGACACUCAAUGCCAGCCUGUGAAGGCAGCCAGGAGGGAGUCUUUACCCUGCAAAGCCACAGGGGUGGAGCAUCCCAAGACUAUGGGAAUCUACCUGUUGCAUCAGCGUGACCUGAAUGUGAGACAUGAAUAGCUUGUGUGUGUGUGUGUGUGUGUGUGUGUCUGUGUGUGUGUGUAUGGAUGUGUGCAUGUGUGUGCAAACACUUGAAGGAGGUAGAUCAGGAUAGAAUGUUUUAAUCUAUCUUUCUCUUUUUUGUUUGCAAACCCAAGAAUUUCUGUGGGUCACUCAGGGUUUGGAGCGCCCUGGGAGAAGAAAAAGGGUGAUUUUUCAGAAGGAAAAGAGUGUAAGAAAAACAUGAAAUUCAAUUUUCCAAUGACAUAACCAUCCUAAAUUUUAUUCUGUUAUGUAAAAAAGGCCAGAAGUCAGCAGUUCUGGGCUUGUAUGACAGUUCCAUGCAUUUUUAGAAAUCAUUUUCUUCUAGAUUAUUCCUCUGCCACCCCUACAUUUCUCUCCAGUCUCAAAACAGUGGGGUAUGUGCUUCUGCCAUGAAUUCUGUACUUCUCUUUUUGUAUUUUUAAUUUCCUUUUUUUCCCCAUGUCUUUCUGUUUUAAAACAUUCUCUUCUAUUUUUCCAAAAACAUCUUGAACUUCUCCCUCCCUACCAUCCCAAAUGUAUCUAUCCUACACAACCAAACAUCUAGAUAAAUUCUCCUAUACCCACUUCAUCCACUUCUUCACCUCCCACUUACUUGCCUGUCUACUCCUGUCUGCCUUUGUUCCAUUUGACUUCAAUACAUUUGCUUUUCCCUAUGGUGACUGCUGACCUUUGUGUCACUAAAUGCAAUGUACAAUUUUCAGCUCUUUUAUUGCUUGAUUCUUUAAUAAGGGUUGACUCUUAAUUCCUCGUCUUUUGUUUUUAAAUUUGGGGAACACUUUAAACUUUUUUAUUUCUUGGUGAGAGGGCAAUGGAUGGAUGAAAAGGAAUAUGUAGAGCAAUAAAAGUCUACCUCUGACUCCUGAUCUCUAUUUCCUUGGAUCUGCUUUUAAGAAGAAAACACUUUAAGCAGUCUCUCAUCAAUCUUCACAGAUGGAAAAAAAAUUACAUAUAUAUAUAUAUAUAUAUAUAUAUAUAUAUAUAUAUAUAUAUAUAUUCAUAUCCACUCAACAUCUCCAUUCAUUUUUACACAAAGCCCCAAUAUCUUGUUCUAUAACAAGUAACUUGUUCUCUAAUUGUAUAUGCAUAAAUACUUUGCAAAUUGUUUACUGUUAGAGAUGAAUCAUUUUAAUGGCAGCAAAACAGUCCAUUGUAUUCUGACACCACUAUUUAACUGAUCUACUGAGUGCUUUUCUCACAUUGUAAUUAUUAUUAGUCUCAAGAAGUAGCCCUGGAUAUUCUUAAGAUAUAAUAGAAAAUUGCUGUUAGACAUCAGUUUUUGAGUGCAGAUAGAACUACUGUAUGAUUCUGCUGGGCAUUUCCCUGGGGAGUUUUUUCAGGAUCAUUGCUUGGUCUAUAAAUAUAAAAUAAGAAAGACCAGGACGCAUUCAAUUUUUAGCUCUGAAACAGUAUGGGGCAGCUUUCCUCCUGGCAGCAUUUGACUUUUAGAGAUGACUUUGGCCAGCAUUUUCUCAAAUGCACCCUUCUGAAU
RNAcentral lists this long non-coding RNA (1807 nucleotides) under Homo sapiens (human). Its description in RNAcentral is "non-protein coding lnc-BASP1-13:1". Lineage: Eukaryota; Metazoa; Chordata; Mammalia; Primates; Hominidae. The record is from RNAcentral.